Molecule: ribosomal RNA, 462 nt
Filed under: uncultured bacterium
Lineage: Bacteria
Description: partial 16S ribosomal RNA
Rfam family: Bacterial small subunit ribosomal RNA
Source: RNAcentral
GAUGAACGCUGACAGAAUGCUUAACACAUGCAAGUCUUUGGCGAAGCUGUGCUCGCACAGCCUAGCCAAGGCGGACGGGUGAGUAACGCGUAAGGAACUUGCCCUGCAGUCAGGGAUAACAGACGGAAACGACUGAUAAGACCUGGUAAAGUCAGGCGGACUCAUGUCCAGCCUGAUGAAAAGAGAUGCUGCAGGAGAGCCUUGCGUCCUAUUAGCUUGUUGGUGGGGUAACGGCCCACCAAGGCGAUGAUAGGUAGCCGGCCUGAGAGGGUGGACGGCCACAAGGGGACUGAGGUACGGCCCUUACUCCUACGGGAGGCAGCAGUGGGGAAUAUUGGACAAUGGGGGCAACCCUGAUCCAGCAAUUCUGUGUGCACGAUGAAGGUUUUCGGAUUGUAAAGUGCUUUCAGCAGGGAAGAAAAAAAUGACGGUACCUGCAGAAGAAGCGACGGCUAAAUACGU